Long non-coding RNA from Oreochromis aureus, 1343 nucleotides. NCBI's taxonomy places the organism in Eukaryota, Metazoa, Chordata, Actinopteri, Cichliformes, Cichlidae. The record is from Ensembl.
GGGACCUCUCUGAUUGGCCGUGGUCCAGUUGAAAGUGCAGGUGGAAGAGAGAGCCUCCUCCACCAUGGGUAAGACCACAGAGCUGUCAAAGGACGUCGGGGACAAAAUUGUGGAGCUGCACCAGGCUGGAAGAAGCCUGGUGAGAAGCUGACAGCUGCUGGUACGAUUAGUCAGAAAUGGAAGAAAUAUAAAAUGACCAUCAGCCUUCCUCAGUCUGGAGCUUGAUGCAAGAGCUGCCUCACAGGUUAAGGAUAAUCACGAGAAAGGUGGUGAAUCGGCCCAACACUACACGUGAGGAGCUUCUUAAUGAUCCGAAGGCAGCUUGGACCACAGUGCACCGUGAGUGAUUGAAAUCUUGAAGCGCCUGAAAGGUCGCCCUGCUCAAGAAGCCACAUGUACAGGGUAGAAAGUGCUUUGGUCAGAUGAAACCAAGAUUGAGGUCUUUGGCAUAAACUUGACCCGCCAUCUUCAGAGGAAGAAAAACGCUGAGAAUGACAUAAAGAAGGCCUACCCCACAGUCAAGCACAGAGGUGAAAAUUAUGCUUUGGGGCUGGUAUGGAUACAGGACAACUUCACCGUAUUGAGGGGCCAAUCGAUGGGGCCAUGUACUAUAAAGUCUUGGAUGAGAACCUCCUUCCCUCCCUCUGCUCUCCUUUCUUCCAUCCUGAAGAUGGAUCAUUGAUUGGUCUUCCAACAUGACGAUAACCCAAAACAUACAGCCAAAGCAACAAAGGAGAAGAACAUUAAGGUCAGUGCACAGCCUCCAGACAUCAGUCCUAUAGAAAAUCUGUGAAGGGAGCUGAAUCUUCGAGUUGCCAAGACUCACCCAAGAAAACUAAAGGGACAAAAACUCUCCCGAGAUGUGAGAAAAUCUUGUGAAAAAUUAUAAGAAUCAUCGUAUUCCUGUGCUUACCAACGAGGGUUUCUCCAUCAAGCGCCAAGUCAUCUUUUGGAUCAAAGAUUUAUUUCACUCAGUGGUGUGUAAAUCAAUGUAAAACUUUUAUGUGAUGUGUAUUUUCUGGAUUUUUGAUUGAUAUUUGGUCUCUUUCCAUUAAAAUGAACCUACCAAAAAAAAUACAGAUUGUUCAUUUUUCUAUCAGAGUGUCAAAUAUUUGUUUCCCCCACUGUACAUCAUUUCACUUCCUGCUUGUACUGUGAUAACAGUUUGACAUUCAAAAGAAGUAUUGCAGGAAAUAUGUUUUUUAUGGAUUUAAUGGCUUUAUUGUUGUUGAUAGAAGUUGCCAUAUUUAGUGCACAAAGCAAAUACUCUGAACAUUAUGUGUGGAACGUUUGUCUGUCCUUGCCUGACUGAUGAUACAGUCAACUUUAAAACUGUAUAUAUG